RNAcentral lists this long non-coding RNA (203 nucleotides) under Mytilus galloprovincialis (Mediterranean mussel). Lineage: Eukaryota; Metazoa; Mollusca; Bivalvia; Mytilida; Mytilidae. The record is from RNAcentral.
CCUAACACUUUAACUAAAAUUAAUUUGGCUCUUUUAAUUUUCUUAAAAUUUUGACAAAGUAUUUACUUUGACCCUUUGACAAAAAUAUAAAAAUUUCAAAAAAUUUGAACCUACCGUUUAAUCAGAAAAAUUACACUGGUUAUAUAGCAGUUUGACAAACACUUAUUUUGAUCAUUGAAAAGCUUAAUAUUCCCAUAUGAACA